UGCGAUAUGAGCGGUUCGAUGCUCGUGACAUCGCAAGAAGUCCACUAAACCUUAUUAUUUAGAGGAAGGAGAAGUCGUAACAAUGUUUCCAUAGUUAAACCUAUGGAAGGAUCAUUG
Molecule: ribosomal RNA, 117 nt
Filed under: Plectocomiopsis geminiflora
Lineage: Eukaryota; Viridiplantae; Streptophyta; Magnoliopsida; Arecales; Arecaceae
Description: partial 18S ribosomal RNA
Rfam family: Eukaryotic small subunit ribosomal RNA
Source: RNAcentral